AUUGAACGCUGGCGGCAGGCCUAACACAUGCAAGUCGAGCGGAUGAAGGGUGCUUGCUCCUGGAUUCAGCGGCGGACGGGUGAGUAAUGCCUAGGAAUCUGCCUGGUUGUGGGGGAUAACGUCCGGAAACGGGCGCUAAUACCGCAUACGUCCUGAGGGAGAAAGGGGGGGAUCUUCGGACCUUCCGCCAUUAGAUGAGCCUAGGUCGGAUUAGCUAGUUGGUGGGGUAAAGGCCUACCAAGGCGACGAUCCGUAACUGGUCUGAGAGGAUGAUCAGUCACACUGGAACUGAGACACGGUCCAGACUCCUACGGGAGGCAGCAGUGGGGAAUAUUGGACAAUGGGCGAAAGCCUGAUCCAGCCAUGCCGCGUGUGUGAAGAAGGUCUUCGGAUUGUAAAGCACUUUAAGUUGGGAAGAAGGGCAGUAAGUUAAUACCUUGCUGUUUUGACGUUACCAACAGAAUAAGCACCGGCUAACUUCGUG
Molecule: ribosomal RNA, 484 nt
Filed under: uncultured bacterium
Lineage: Bacteria
Description: partial 16S ribosomal RNA
Rfam family: Bacterial small subunit ribosomal RNA
Source: RNAcentral